GGUAGAGAGGACGAUUGGGAAGUCAUCAGGCUCAUCAUCUGAAGAAGCGGGUUCGACCCCCGUCUCUACGG
RNAcentral lists this transfer RNA (71 nucleotides) under Corynactis californica. Its description in RNAcentral is "tRNA-Met". It matches the Rfam family "tRNA". From Rfam's summary of the family: Transfer RNA (tRNA) molecules are approximately 80 nucleotides in length. Their secondary structure includes four short double-helical elements and three loops (D, anti-codon, and T loops). The record is from RNAcentral. Lineage: Eukaryota; Metazoa; Cnidaria; Anthozoa; Corallimorpharia; Corallimorphidae.